Arachis ipaensis is the source of this 487-nucleotide non-coding RNA. The record is from RefSeq and is a predicted model, not a curated record. NCBI's taxonomy places the organism in Eukaryota, Viridiplantae, Streptophyta, Magnoliopsida, Fabales, Fabaceae.
UUGGUCAUUAUUGGCAGUCUUCAGAAGACAUGGGGUGACAUGUACUGCCACUGAGAAUGAUGUAGAUGUUUUGAUAGCUGCAUAUGCAUUUCGUCUUAAAAUUUUGCAUGAAAGGGGACUUAAUCUGUUAAACAAGGAAGGUAUGGGCUUCCACUACUUAUAUGAAUUUGAUGACUUAUUGAAAAUCUUACUUCAAUUCUACUUAUCAAACCAUUUAACAUGCAGCAGAAAAUGAUAAAGCAAAGCGUGUUCAUUCUACUGACAAGAAACUCUCUCUUCAUAGUCAGCAUGCAACCAUGAUCAAUGGUUUACAAGAUGUGCUCAAAGAAAAACUUGAAGAGCAACAAAUACGGAAAGAGGAAGAAUUAGCUAGAGUGAAAGCUCAACAAGUCGUACUCUUUCAUAGCGCGUUUUGACGAUGAACGAAACUAGACAAUUAAAGGAGUGCUGAAAUGGUGACCACAUGCUACCUUAAGGGCUCAAGAAU